CAGCAUUUAUUGUCCAAAUUCCUGUCAGCUCUCUCUAAUCCUCCAGCUAAAAGAGGAUAUUCGGUCUGUUAGUCAUCAGAGACUUUUUUUGUAAAUUUCGUUUCCAAUUUUGGCUGUGUUUUUUUGUUGUUGUCAUGGCGACAGGAUGAGUGGGUUUUUAGGGAGCAUUCUCUGGAAAACAAACCAUUCCCUCUGGUUCAGUAUGGUGGGUUAGUGUGGAAAGGUGGUGUUUUUGAGAUGUACGAACACAGAUGGUGAUGGAUACGAACAGGCUGAUGAAGGCUGUGCAUGUUUGCUCUUGGAAAUCAUCUGUUCCUGAACAUCAUCAUUGCUUGACACAAGAUUCGUCCAACCAUUCCAGUAAUGCAUUGGAAUGCCUUGAGGUUGGAUCCCAGUGGAUUCCGCAACUCAAUCAAGGGUCAAUGGCGACCAGCAACUGUUUGGUUACCAACAUUCUUCAAAAUAUAUUAUUUUAUUUUCAUCAGAAGAAAGAAACUCAUACAAGUUUGGAACUACAUGAGGUUUCACCAAAGUUUCACCAAAUGACUCAUGCUUGGAAUGGAUAUGCAGAAGGAAAAACUGAGGGCCUUCGGGGUACCAGAGGCCUGGAGGAAGACAGGAUGAAGGACACACUAAUUAAGGACCAUGCAAGACUACGGGACAUUUGCUGCUGUGCUGUGCUGCCUCUGCGUUGAUUGUUAUUCAUCUUGAACGCUGCCCGAUGACUUGAAUAUGUGGGCUUAAUAUGUACAUACUAAUGCAGUAUAGGGUGGACAGCAAUCCAACUCUAAUAGAUAUUAUAUAGGUCUAUUUUAACCACUGUAUGUGACUGAAUGGUGUGCGUGUGGUCUGUUGGCACUGAAUGCGUUCCCAGAGGAACAUUUUAUUGCUCAGAGGUUAUUGUUUCAUAGCUUAGGAGUCUUAUAGGAGUUUUAAAGGACUUUAAGUGUCAAUCUUGUCUUGGAUAUAUUUCCUAAAAUUCCUUAAGAUAGCAGAGCUGGAAACAAAUUAGACAAUUUGUGUGGGCAUAUAAAUAGGGUGCAUUUAUAUGAUCAUGAAAUAAAGUAAAAACUGUUUUCUAUUUUAAUAUAUUAUAAAAUGUAAUUUAUUCCUGUGAUGGCAAAGCUGAAUUUUCAGAAGCCAUUACUCCAGUUUACAGUGUCAUAUGACCCUGCAGAAAUCAUUUUAAUAUGCUGAUUUAGUGUUAAAAUAACAUUUCUUGUUGAACGUUUCUUGGUCAGUGUUGAAAACAUUUGUGCUGCUUAAUAUUUUGGUGGAAACCAAAAAAAAAAAAAAAUUCAGGAUACUUAUGAAUAGAAAGUUGAAAAGAAUAGCAUUUAUUUAACAUAUAAAUAUUUUGUUGCAUUGUAAAUGUCUUUAUUGUCACGUUUGAUCAAUUAAAUGCAUUCUUCCUAAUAAAAGUAUUCAUU
This is a long non-coding RNA of Cyprinus carpio carpio, 1430 nucleotides long. Lineage: Eukaryota; Metazoa; Chordata; Actinopteri; Cypriniformes; Cyprinidae. The record is from Ensembl.